AGGAGAAUAGUUCAAUUGGUAGAGCAACGGUCUCCAAAGCCGUAAGUUAAGGGUUCGAGUCCCUUUUCUCCUG
This 73-nucleotide transfer RNA is filed under the name Chloroflexota bacterium. RNAcentral describes it as "Chloroflexi bacterium tRNA-Trp". It matches the Rfam family "tRNA". Rfam says of the family: Transfer RNA (tRNA) molecules are approximately 80 nucleotides in length. Their secondary structure includes four short double-helical elements and three loops (D, anti-codon, and T loops). Further hydrogen bonds mediate the characteristic L-shaped molecular structure. tRNAs have two regions of fundamental functional importance: the anti-codon, which is responsible for specific mRNA codon recognition, and the 3' end, to which the tRNAs corresponding amino acid is attached (by aminoacyl-tRNA synthetases). tRNAs cope with the degeneracy of the genetic code in two manners: having more than one tRNA (with a specific anti-codon) for a particular amino acid; and 'wobble' base-pairing, i.e. permitting non-standard base-pairing at the 3rd anti-codon position. The record is from RNAcentral. Lineage: Bacteria; Bacillati; Chloroflexota.